UCGAACCCUGCAAAGCAUAACGACCCGUGAACAUGUAAAAACAAUCGGGCGUCAAUUGGAUUAAGCACUUGUUUGAUCCUCUUGGUGCUUUGUCGAUGUGCACUUUACUAGAGUUUUUUUGGACCUUGUGAGUGUUCCAUUGGCAGCAAUAACAACCCCCAGGCACAAUGUGUGCCAAGGAAAACUAAACUUAAGAAGGCUUGUUUCAUGUUCCUCGUUUGCGGUGUGCUCAUGAGACUUGGCUUCUUUAUAAAUCGCGUCGCCCCCGCAAAUCUUUGUUGGGGGCGGAUAUUGGUCUCCCGUGCUCAUGGUGUGGUUGGCCAAAAUAAGAGUCCCUUCGACGGACGCACUAACUAGUGGUGGUCGUAAAAACCCUCGUUCUUUGUUAUGUGUUGUUAGUUGCAAGGAAACACUCUUCAAAUACCCCAACGUGUUGUCUUAGGAUGAUGCUUCGACCG
This 458-nucleotide ribosomal RNA is filed under the name Phalacrocarpum oppositifolium. RNAcentral's name for it is "partial internal transcribed spacer". The record is from RNAcentral. Lineage: Eukaryota; Viridiplantae; Streptophyta; Magnoliopsida; Asterales; Asteraceae.